UGGAUCCAGCUUUGAUUAUGGCUCAGGAUGAACGCUGGCGGCGUGCCUAAUACAUGCAAGUCGAACGAAACUUCUUUAUCACCGAGCGCUUGCACUCACCGAUAAAGAGUUGAGUGGCGAACGGGUGAGUAACACGUGGGCAACCUGCCCGAAAGAGGGGGAUAACACUUGGAAACAGGUGCUAAUACCGCAUAACCAUGAAUACCGCAUGGUAUUUAUGUGAAAGGUGGUUUCGGCUACCGCUUUCGGAUGGGCCCGCGGCGCAUUAGCUAGUUGGUGGGGUAAAGGCUUACCAAGGCAAUGAUGCGUAGCCGAACUGAGAGGUUGAUCGGCCACAUUGGGACUGUGACACGGCCCAAACUCCUACGGGAGGCAGCGGUAGGGAAUCUUCCACAAUGGGCGAAAGCCUGAUGGAGCAACGCCGCGUGGGUGAAGAAGGUCUUCGGAUCGUAAAACCCUGUUGUCAGAGAAGAAAGUGCAUGAGAGUAACUGUUCAUGUUUCGACGGUAUCUGACCAGAAAGCCACGGCUAACUACGUGCCAGCAGCCGCGGUAAUACGUAGGUGGCAAGCGUUAUCCGGAUUUAUUGGGCGUAAAGGGGACGCAGGCGGUCUUUUAAGUCUGAUGUGAAAGCCUUCGGCUUAACCGGAGUAGUGCAUUGGAAACUGGGAGACUUGAGUGCAGAAGAGGAGAGUGGAACUCCAUGUGUAGCGGUGAAAUGCGUAGAUAUAUGGAAGAACACCAGUGGCGAAAGCGGCUCUCUGGUCUGUAACUGACGCUGAGGUUCGAAAGCGUGGGUAGCAAACAGGACUAGAUACCCUGGUAGUCCACGCCGUAAACGAUGAAUGCUAAGUGUUGGAGGGUUUCCGCCCUUCAGUGCUGCAGUUAACACAAUAAGCAUUCCGCCUGGGGAGUACGACCGCAAGGUUGCAACUGAAAUGAAUUGACGGA
This 950-nucleotide ribosomal RNA is filed under the name uncultured Bacillota bacterium. RNAcentral's name for it is "bacterial SSU rRNA". It matches the Rfam family "Bacterial small subunit ribosomal RNA", at positions 1 to 917 of the family's 1533-position model. Lineage: Bacteria; Bacillati; Bacillota. The record is from RNAcentral.